Molecule: ribosomal RNA, 611 nt
Filed under: uncultured bacterium
Lineage: Bacteria
Description: bacterial SSU rRNA
Rfam family: Bacterial small subunit ribosomal RNA
Source: RNAcentral
GGUGAGUAACACGUAUGCAAUCCACCUGUAACAGGGGGAUAACCCGGAGAAAUCCGGACUAAUACCCCAUAAUAUGGGCGCUCCGCAUGGAGGGUCCAUUAAAGAGAGCAAUUUUGGUUACAGACGAGCAUGCGCUCCAUUAGCCAGUUGGCGGGGUAACGGCCCACCAAAGCGACGAUGGAUAGGGGUUCUGAGAGGAAGGUCCCCCACAUUGGAACUGAGACACGGUCCAAACUCCUACGGGAGGCAGCAGUGAGGAAUAUUGGUCAAUGGUCGGCAGACUGAACCAGCCAAGUCGCGUGAGGGAAGACGGCCCUACGGGUUGUAAACCUCUUUUGUCGGAGAGUAAAGUGCGCUACGCGUAGCGUAUUGCAAGUAUCCGAAGAAAAAGCAUCGGCUAACUCCGUGCCAGCAGCCGCGGUAAUACGGAGGAUGCGAGCGUUAUCCGGAUUUAUUGGGUUUAAAGGGUGCGUAGGCGGCACGCCAAGUCAGCGGUGAAAUUUCCGGGCUCAACCCGGACUGUGCCGUUGAAACUGGCGAGCUAGAGUACACAAGAGGCAGGCGGAAUGCGUGGUGUAGCGGUGAAAUGCAUAGAUAUCACGCAGAACCCC